This 253-nucleotide ribosomal RNA is filed under the name uncultured bacterium. RNAcentral's name for it is "partial 16S ribosomal RNA". It matches the Rfam family "Bacterial small subunit ribosomal RNA", at positions 524 to 776 of the family's 1533-position model. The record is from RNAcentral.
GACAGGGGCCUCAAGCGUUAGGCGGAAUCACUGGGCUUAAAGCGUGUGUAGGCGGAUCGUUAAGUGUCUUGUGAAAUCCCACGGCUCACCCGUGGAACUGCUGGGCAUACUGGCGAUCUUGGGCCAACUAGGGGCAGCCGGAACAAGCGGUGGAGCGGUGAAAUGCGUAGAUAUCGCUUGGAACGCCGAAGGUGAAAACAGGCUGCUGGGGUUGUGCCGACGCUGAGACACGAAAGCCAGGGGAGCAAACGGG